AGCAAAAAUCAGAAUGCAAAUAAGAAUCAGGCAACACAAAUCGCAGGCAUAAAUAAAAGGCAUUCAUCAGCUGUAAAGUCUUCUCUGCCAAAUAUAUAAACAGGGAACUGUCGCAUCAUCUCGGUAAAACCCUCAAGCAUCCGCAGACUGUCAGCCACCGCAGGUUCGCUACCACUACUUACUACCAACAUGUAAUAAAAAGCCAGGCAUGACAUAUCCCACAUCCAACAAGCGUCUCUGCGCACUAGUAUCGCCAACCGACAACACACGCAUGUUUCUCGAUGCCAAAAAGACACUGCCAACACUUAACCAGAGUUUUUUGUCCUGCUGAUGAUCGCAAAACCAUCGGUCACGAGGGCGGGCUCAGGGGGCGUUCACCGGUUCCCGUUCAUCUUGGCCAUCAUCUUGGCUAUGAUGGGCCCCACCUUCGGGUUCGCCUGGUGCUUGGUCAAGUUGGCAGGGUUGCUCAUCACUGCACCAAACAGAGGGUCAGGUCACUGCAAAGGAAGUAUCGAACAAGAACAACAUAGGCUAAAGCAGCUAAAGAAAACAACCCUAAAGCAGCAGGCAUAUAAGCAGAGAUUACAGUUCUUGUGAGCAUUAUAUCCAAGUUUAGAUAUUACAAUUUGUAUAAGCCUUAUAUCCAAGUUUAAGAAUACGCAAGGUUCAAAGAUUUAGUGUAGCUCAUAUAAAAUGGUACCUCCCAUCUAAAUAUUUGAGCCAUGCAAUACUACCCUGACGAGUAAGAAAGUACAGGACCAGAACAAUGUAGCCUACAGCAGUUCUCACACACAACCCUAAAGCAGCAAAUACAUCGUGAUACAAGCAAACGGUUAUGUCCUAACAAUUAGAACUUUCACUAGACAUGGAUGCAUACAAGGAAUGUUGAUACCAUGAGUACUAACCUGAACUAUUAGAAUAUAUCUACUAAUCUAGUAGUAUAAGAAUAAAGAUAUCGUCAAACGCAUCACAUAAAGUGGCCUCUAGUGAUAAAAAAUUAUCUGCCGCACCAGAUUUCAGGAUUGAGCAUACAUCACUAGCAUGCUUGCAUGUUCAGAAUAUUCAAUCAAACUAAUCCGCACCUUGCAUAACUCACCAAAUAUGCCCACUGUACUCCAAAAACAGACUAAAUACUCCCUCCGUUCGGAAAUACUUGUCGACAAAAUGAACAAAAAGGGAUGUAUCUAGAUGUAUAUUAGUUCUAGAUACAUCCCUUUUUAUCUAUUUUGAUGACAAGUAUUUUCGGACGGAGGGAGUACUAUGCAAAGAAAUAUGUUGCACUUAUGACCACUGCUAUUAUUAAGAGAAAUUUAUAUUCAAUCAGCUGUUUUCCAGCACCAGGACUUGACCAGGAAGAUCAACUACAACAGGCAACUGUACUAUAAAGUAAAUGGGGAUUAGAGAACUAUUUGAGUAGAAAACUGUACCAUCUUGAAGGGCCGCCAUAACCUCUGGGUCACCAAAUGCUGCCAUCAGGUCAGGGUCCUGUUUCAAAGAGAAGAAAGAAGAACAUUGUGUAAAACAGGUUUCUCCAGUAUCAAGAGUUAUGGUUACAAGGAAGACAGGCAGACACUGGGCAAGCACUUACAUUCAAGAUGUCACCCAUAUCAACAUUCCCAGGAGCACCUCCAGCUCCAGGCAUACCACCUCCCAUUCCUCUGCCACCGCCCAUUCCAGGCAUACCACCUCCCAUUCCUGCGGGCAUACCGCCCCCCAUUCCUGCGGGCAUACCUCCACCCAUUCCUGCGGGCAUACCUCCACCCAUUCCUCCAGGGAAACCACCCCCCAUUCCUCCGGGGAAGCCACCAGGCAUUCCACCCAUGCCUCCUGGGAAUGGGAAGCCACCGGGCAUUCCACCAGGCAUGCCUCCUGAAGAGCGGCUUGAUGAUUGCUCCUUCCUCUUGGCCUUCUCAUAAGCAGCCUGUCAAAAACACAAGCCAUUGAGCUUCAGUAUGAAUCCUAAACAGUAUCCCUGGAAAGCUCCUACCACAAGUGGAAAAACUAGUAUGAUGAUGAACCCACCUGUGCCUCGGCACGGCGACGAAGCCUGUCACGCUCAGCUUUCUUCUCCGCCCUCUCUUUCCUCAGCCUGUCAUACUUCCUGCGAUGCUCCACUAUCUUGUGUGCAUUAGGCUCCACCUGCAAGGUCACCAGCAUCAGUAUCAUUGAUAUGAGCAUAUGCGUUGUGUCCAAACAUAUAGAUAGGACAUAGUUGAUGCAACAACAUCCCACCUUCUUGAGCACAGCAUUGAUCUCAUCAUCAUAGUCAAUGUUUGACGCGGCAUGCAGAUCACGAGCAGCUUCCUCCCACUUGCCAAGCAUAG
RNAcentral lists this long non-coding RNA (2324 nucleotides) under Triticum aestivum (bread wheat). Its description in RNAcentral is "long non-coding RNA (TAES_LNC009526)". The stretch from base 1128 to 1262 matches the Rfam family "MIR1120/MIR1122 microRNA precursor family". Lineage: Eukaryota; Viridiplantae; Streptophyta; Magnoliopsida; Poales; Poaceae. The record is from RNAcentral.